CGGGUUUAAUAUUUUUUGACCUUCACGGGUUUUGACCCGAACCGAUUUGAAAACUCGGGUUCGGGUUUGCCUGACGGAAACCCGACCCAUGCCCAAUCCUAGUAUGUCAUUUAGGUAGACUUCGACAUUUAUAUUUUUAUUAGCCUUUGGAAGGUGAUAAGCAUUAUGACUCGAAACAAAUGGUACCCAUCUCGAUUAUGAAUGACGUUUUCUUCUCAUUUUAAGUGUCAUGGGAAUCUGGUUAUAUCGAUCCUGAGUGGACGUUUAUGAAGCUAAGUAGCUCGCAACCCGAACUCUAGUCCACUAGGCGAUCCGUUGAUGGCAGCGGGCAGCUGUCUAUGCACAUACGUCAUCCUGCAUCUGCUUUUCGGACCAUGACUAUGUUGGUCAACUACUUGGGAUCAUAUUAGAAUUAUAUAAUUAUGAUGUAUAAUUAUCCAAGUAUUGAGAUAUGAUGAAAUAUUUAUGUAUAAUAAUAUUGAACUUAUUGGAAAGUAAAUGACAAUACAGAUUUGUGAAGAUUGAGAUGAUUGCAGAAUGUAAAUGCUGGAGAUGAUGAAGACGAUGGACAGAUCGGAUGAAUGAUCUCCAGAUGAAGAACAAGCUUGACCAGAUGAUUUGAAUUCCAGAGGAAAGAUUGCAGAUUUCAGAGAACAGAUUGAAGAAGAUAGAGAUGGUGAUUUGGGACCAAGAACUUGAAU
RNAcentral lists this long non-coding RNA (701 nucleotides) under Zostera marina. RNAcentral describes it as "long non-coding RNA (ZMAR_LNC004516)". Lineage: Eukaryota; Viridiplantae; Streptophyta; Magnoliopsida; Alismatales; Zosteraceae. The record is from RNAcentral.